GCCCCCCCCCCCCCCUCCACACACACACACACACACAAACAAAGAGGCGUUAGGCUGAGACGCUGAAAGUCCGGAUUUAAAGUGCAGAAAAUUAAGCCAUUGAAUCUGCCUGUCCAUGACGUACAAAGACACACUAUGAGCCAGUAUGAUCCGACCAGACCUUACAUCAGCAUUGAGGAGUUGUCGGAGAAGAAAGAGGCUGAUUGAAGCGGGACAGAUGACAUGGAUCCAUCCUUCCACAGCCAGGAGCGCACCGACCUGUGUCCCACACUUCAUAUAAGACUGGAAGCUACACUGAUCUCACAGCUACACACCACAGACGUCUACACACUGGAGAAGAGUCCCACAAAGAAGUCAUGACCCAGAGGCUGCAGAGAAACAUUUCAAGCCUCAUCUGAGUUUUUGUACAAUAUUUUUGCUGUAUGUAAAUAAAGCUUUCACUCCACA
Limanda limanda (common dab) is the source of this 447-nucleotide long non-coding RNA. RefSeq lists it as uncharacterized. The record is from RefSeq and is a predicted model, not a curated record. The transcript has 3 exons. NCBI's taxonomy places the organism in Eukaryota, Metazoa, Chordata, Actinopteri, Pleuronectiformes, Pleuronectidae.